AUGAUUCUUGAUACAAUGAAGACUGAUCACUCAGUGAGGGAAAUGAAUGGAAAAGAUCUUCUACAAUGCAGACAAGAAAAAUUCAGCAUAAGUCAGUGGAAAUUUAUCUCAUCUAACAAAGCAAAUUCAUUAUACUGCUCAGAAGAUCAAGCAAAACUACCACCUGACCCGCUAAUUUCUACACUUGUACCUAGCCAUACCUAUGAACAAGCAGAACAUCAGAGGAACAAGGCUGUUACAACUGAUACCCAAGCUGGAUAUACUUGUUCAAUAGGAAACAAUGUUGAACAUGAUAUUCCCUCUUUCAAUGCUAUAACUGCAGGUCUACAUGAUACACUUCCGCAUCAAAUGACUGGUUGCAAUAACACAAGUCUUUCACUGCCUACUGCUCCCACCUAUAAUGUUAAUUCUACUGGCAACUAUCCAUUGUUGUCCAAUCACAAAACUCCGAUUCUAUAUAGCAAUAGCCCUCUGAGGUCCUUCAACAUCAACUCUAGAUAA
RNAcentral lists this ribosomal RNA (501 nucleotides) under Triticum aestivum (bread wheat). Its description in RNAcentral is "partial small subunit ribosomal RNA". Lineage: Eukaryota; Viridiplantae; Streptophyta; Magnoliopsida; Poales; Poaceae. The record is from RNAcentral.